AACGAACGCUGGCGGCAGGCUUAACACAUGCAAGUCGAACGGAUCCUUCGGGAUUAGUGGCAGACGGGUGAGUAAUGCAUGGGAAUCUACCAUUCUCUACGGAAUAACUCAGGGAAACUUGUGUUAAUACCGUAUACGUCCUUAGGGAGAAAGAUUUAUCGGAGAAUGAUGAGCCCAUGUUGGAUUAGCUAGUUGGUGAGGUAAAGGCUCACCAAGGCGACGAUCCAUAGCUGGUCUGAGAGGAUGAUCAGCCACACUGGGACUGAGACACGGCCCAGACUCCUACGGGAGGCAGCAGUGGGGAAUAUUGGACAAUGGGCGCAAGCCUGAUCCAGCCAUGCCGCGUGAGUGAUGAAGGCCCUAGGGUUGUAAAGCUCUUUCACCGGUGAAGAUAAUGACGGUAACCGGAGAAGAAGCCCCGGCUAACUUCGUGCCAGCCGCCGCAGUAACAC
RNAcentral lists this ribosomal RNA (452 nucleotides) under uncultured bacterium. RNAcentral's name for it is "bacterial SSU rRNA". It matches the Rfam family "Bacterial small subunit ribosomal RNA", at positions 29 to 526 of the family's 1533-position model. The record is from RNAcentral.